RNAcentral lists this ribosomal RNA (458 nucleotides) under uncultured bacterium. RNAcentral describes it as "partial 16S ribosomal RNA". It matches the Rfam family "Bacterial small subunit ribosomal RNA", at positions 338 to 795 of the family's 1533-position model. The record is from RNAcentral.
CCUACGGGUGGCAGCAGUGGGGAAUAUUGGUCAAUGGGCGAGAGCCUGAUCCAGCCACGUCGCGUGAGGGAAGAAUGCCCUAUGGGUUUUAAACCUCUUUUGUAGGGGAGCAAAAGCCGGACAUCUCCGUCUGAGACAGUGCCCGACGACAAGGCAUCGGCAACCACGGUACGAGCGGCCGCGGUAAUACGCGGGAUGCGAGCGUUAUCAGGUUUUGUUGGGUGAAAAGGGUGCGCAGGGGGAUGUUUAGGUCCUCGGUAAAUGCGGGGGUCUAAACCCCAUCCAGCCGUUGAAACUGGGGUGCUAGAGUGUUCGAGAGGUAUGCGGAAUGCGUGGUGUAGCGGUGAAAUGCAUAGAUAUCACGCAGAACCCCGAUUGCGAAGGCAGCAUACCGGUGAAUAACUGACGUUCAGGCACGAAAGCGUGGGUAGCGAACAGGAUUAGAUACCCCUGUAGUC